Molecule: ribosomal RNA, 473 nt
Filed under: uncultured bacterium
Lineage: Bacteria
Description: bacterial SSU rRNA
Rfam family: Bacterial small subunit ribosomal RNA
Source: RNAcentral
ACUCCUACGGGAGGCAGCAGUGGGGAAUAUUGCACAAUGGGGAAACCCUGAUGCAGCCAUGCCGCGUGUGUGAAGAAGGCCUUCGGUUGUAAAGCACUUUCAGUAGGGAGGAAGGUAGUGUAGUUAACACCUGCACUAUUUGACGUUACCUACAGAAGAAGCACCGGCUAACUCCGUGCCAGCAGCCGCGGUAAUACGGAGGGGUGCGAGCGUUAAUCGGAAUUACUGGGCGUAAAGCGCAUGCAGGCGGCCUGUUAAGUCAGAUGUGAAAGCCCGGGGGCUUAACCUCGGAAUUGCAUUUGAAACUGGCAGGCUAGAGUCUUGUAGAGGGGGGUAGAAUUUCAGGUGUAGCGGUGAAAUGCGUAGAGAUCUGAAGGAAUACCAGUGGCGAAGGCGGCCCCCUGGACAAAGACUGACGCUCAGAUGCGAAAGCGUGGGGAGCAAACAGGAUUAGAUACCCUGGUAGCACAGAG